CUCACCCUACUAUGCUUUUUCUGACAAAGGGAACUCUUUCUACCUGGGAAGUGCCCUCUUGGCUAGCACGGUGCUGGCUGGAGGUGGGAUGAUGUAGGAAAAUGAAGCUGUCUUCACUCCCUUCUUGUGCGAUUUCAGGUGUUUUCUUCCACUGUGUAGUUCAAGUUUCUUGAGUGGAUGCCAGAGCUCUCCUAGAGCUCCUUUUGUUUGCGAAUAGCUGUCUGAUUGUUGAUCUGUGUUGUAGGGGACAGGAGGCUGCGUGCACUUAUGUCACCAUUUUGGGCUCAUCUGUUGUUUUGUGGCUGAUACUUUUCAGCCUUCUACUCCAGUGAAGCCACAAAUACCCUCAUCUACAUUUAAGACUCCUUUCUUUUCCCUUUGGGAGAACAUUGGCUAGAGCUCAGUCAACCUAAUUUCAACAUAACUGUUUUUUGAAAAUUCCCUGGUAGCCUCCUUUGUCCAUGCUUAAAUGAUUAUGGAAGUCUAGAAGGGAGACCUCUAAUGCAUUAACCCAUUUUUUUCAUGUCAGUGAAAUGAAAGUUUUAUGGGACUCUUCACUCUGAAAAGUUUUCUCAGCUGCUCUGUUACCACUCAACUAAGGACGUCUGAAGGACUGAAAGACCCCUAGUGAUCUUCUACACCAGUGCUUCUCAGAUUGGAUUUACCUGCAGUGCUUUAAAACUUGCUUAGCAUAAGCACCCUGUAACAAAUGGAAAUCUCUGAAAUUAGACCCCAGACAUCAAAGGUUUAAAAAUUCCCCAGGACUGGUGGCCUUAUGAGAAGAAGAAAAGAGAACGAUCCUUCUCUUUCUACACAUGCAUGCCCCUGGAGAGGCCAUGUGAGGACACAGUGAGAAAACAGGAAAAGAGCCCCCCUUCCCCCAAAACCAAAUUGAUCUUGGACUUUCUAGCCUCCACUACUGUGAGAAAUAAAUUUCUGUUGUGUAAGACACCCAGCUUCCGGUAUUCUGUUGUGGCAGCCCAAGCUGACUAAUAGGCCAAGCGGUGCAAGCGGUGCUGAUGCUGGUGGUCCAUAGACCGCAUUCUGAGUACACUAGCUGAAGCCACAUACCCCAGGAAUUCGGUAUCAAUUUGUCUGAGGAUAAGUGCAGGGCAUCAUUAUUUUUUAAUGUUUCCCGGGUGAUGUUGAUGUAUAACCAGGACUGAGAACCUCUGAUCAAGGCCAAUUGCUUCAACUUAAAGCUAAUGACACUGAGACUCAAGGAGGUUAAGUGGUUUGCCCUAGUUAUCAUGUAUGCUAUUGCUAAAUUUUCCAGAUUUAUAGGGGGAGAAAAAAUUUCUCCUGAGGCCGCACACUAGUAUGUGAAAGAUUGAGCCUUAGACCCCAACACUCUCCAUUUCUAGGACUGACCCAUUCAUUUCUCCCCAAACAACAUUAAUUUGUUUAAUUCAGGUAGAUUCAUUUUAAGUGGUUUUAUCAUUGUAGUACAAUCCAAGAAUGUUGUAUUCUGUGUUCUAGGUCUGCUCCAAAAUUGUUGCUAUUUGUUAUGACAUGCUUAAUGACUGAUCAUAAAGUGAGAUUAUACACACACACACACACACACACACACACACACACACACACACGAUUCAUAUGUAUAUAUGUACCUCCAUGUGGCUGAUCUUCACACUGUAACAGUAAUGUACUCACUAUGAAUAAAAACACUGCCAUCUAGCAUUACCCUUUUUUUUUUCAUUUAAAGAUUUUUAUUUAUUUAUUUGAGAAAGAGCAUGA
Long non-coding RNA from Lutra lutra (Eurasian river otter), 1734 nucleotides. RefSeq lists it as uncharacterized. The transcript is spliced from 3 exons. Lineage: Eukaryota; Metazoa; Chordata; Mammalia; Carnivora; Mustelidae. The record is from RefSeq and is a predicted model, not a curated record.